This 230-nucleotide ribosomal RNA is filed under the name uncultured Alicycliphilus sp. RNAcentral's name for it is "partial 16S ribosomal RNA". It matches the Rfam family "Bacterial small subunit ribosomal RNA", at positions 550 to 774 of the family's 1533-position model. Lineage: Bacteria; Pseudomonadati; Pseudomonadota; Betaproteobacteria; Burkholderiales; Comamonadaceae. The record is from RNAcentral.
AGCUGAUCAUUGGGUGUAAAGGGUGCGCAGGCGGUCUUGUAAGACAGAGGUGAAAUCCCCGGGCUCAACCUGGGAACUGCCUUUGUGACUGCAAGGCUGGAGUGCGGCAGAGGGGGAUGGAAUUCCGCGUGUAGCAGUGAAAUGCGUAGAUAUGCGGAGGAACACCGAUGGCGAAGGCAAUCCCCUGGGCCUGCACUGACGCUCAUGCACGAAAGCGUGGGGAGCAAACA